Molecule: small nuclear RNA, 199 nt
Organism: Neogale vison (American mink)
Lineage: Eukaryota; Metazoa; Chordata; Mammalia; Carnivora; Mustelidae
Gene: U2
Rfam family: U2 spliceosomal RNA
About the family: U2 is a small nuclear RNA (snRNA) component of the spliceosome (involved in pre-mRNA splicing). Complementary binding between U2 snRNA (in an area lying towards the 5' end but 3' to hairpin I) and the branchpoint sequence (BPS) of the intron results the bulging out of an unpaired adenosine, on the BPS, which initiates a nucleophilic attack at the intronic 5' splice site, thus starting the first of two transesterification reactions that mediate splicing.
Source: Ensembl
AUUGCUUCUCGGCCUUUUGGCCAAGAUCAAGUGUUCUUAUCAGUGAUCUGUUCUUAUCAGUUUAAUAUCUGAUACAUCCUCUAUCUGAGGACAAUGUAUUAAAUGGAUUUUUGGAGCAGGGAGAUGGAAUAGGAGCUUGCUCCAUCCACUCUACUCAUUGACCUGGUAUUGCCAUAUUUCCAGGAAUGGUGCAUCCCCU